Molecule: ribosomal RNA, 274 nt
Filed under: uncultured bacterium
Lineage: Bacteria
Description: partial 16S ribosomal RNA
Rfam family: Bacterial small subunit ribosomal RNA
Source: RNAcentral
CUACGGAGGGUGCGAGCGUUAAUCGGAAUUACUGGGCGUAAAGCGUACGUAGGCGGUUGGUUAAGUUAGAUGUGAAAGCCCCGGGCUUAACCUGGGAACUGCAUUUAAAACUGGCGAACUAGAGUUGAGUAGAGGGGAGUGGAAUUUCAGGUGUAGCGGUGAGAUGCGUAGAGAUCUGAAGGAACACCAGUGGCGAAGGCGACUCCCUGGACUCGAACUGACGCUGAGGUACGAAAGCGUGGGUAGCAAACGGGAUUAGAUACCCCAGUAGUCC